UGCUUAGAAACGUCCUUUAUUCUUCCCUGGAAUUUUCACCUGUUUUUCUCAAUCUUCACUCUCAUAUACUUAUUGUUUCUAGUUUCUUUCUGGCGUGUUGAGCGAUCAAUUUUCUGAUUUUGAACACUACAUCCACAUAUAUAUUUUUCUUCUCAAACAUCGUCAUGUUGUCAUUACCUUCAACUCCCUCAUACAUAUCUAGAAAGAAAUAUGAUGUUUUCUUGAGUUUUAGAGGUGAAGAUACCCGCACCAACUUUACCGAUCAUCUCUAUGAUGCUUUAAGUAGGAGUGGGAUCGUCACUUUCAGGGAUGAUCCAAAGCUGGAGGCCGGGGAAGAGAUCGCGCCAGAACUCUUUAAAGCAAUUCAGCAAUCAUGGUGCUCGGUAAUCGUUUUUUCACAAACUUAUGCCUUUUCAAGUUGGUGCUUGGAGGAGCUUGCUGAGAUUGUUAAACAACAUAAUAACGACGGCCAUAAAGUGUUUCCAAUUUUUUACGAUGUUGAUCCAUCUGAUUUAAGAAAACAAAAAGAGAAAGUGGAAGAAGCCUUUGCUAGACAUGAAGAGAGAUACGGAGAAGAUAGUGAGAAGAUCCAAAGGUGGCGAAAUGCUUUAAUUCAAGUGGCUGGAAUCAAGGGAUGGCAUUUAAAUAACAGGUAACUCUUUCUUUUCUUCUCUAUUUUCUAUUUUUUGGGAUAUAUAUGUAUAACUUUUUUCUUUCUUUCUAAUCCUAUGUGUUUCCAGUCUUGGUUCUUGUUUGCUUCCAAACUCUAUUAUGUUUCAUGAUUCAUUGAAAAAGAAAGUGCAUUUGAUAAUAUGAAAAAAAAAAUUAUUCAAAAAAUUAAAAUUUCUUUUCUUGUAGGCAUGAAUCGGAAUUUAUUAGAGAGAUUAUUAAGAAGAUAUCAGCAAAACUAUGUCACCUAGUUACUCAUAGUCACUUGGUUGGAAUGACUGAACGCUUGGAGGAUUUAUAUUUGAAAAUAAACAUUGGGGAAAAUGAUGUCCACAUUAUAGGGAUUUGCGGAAUGGGUGGUAUCGGUAAAACCACACUCGCAAGACUUGCUUAUAAUCAAAUGUCACAUCAUUUUGAAAGUAAAAGCUUUAUUGCUGAUGUUCGAGAAGUUUCAGACAAAUGUGGAUUAGUUUCUUUACAGAAACAACUUCUUUCGGAGAUUUUUCAUGAUGAAUGCUUCAAAUUUUUCAAUGUUCAUGAAGGGAAUGAUAUAAUUAGUCAUAUGUUGUCUCGCAAAAAGGUUCUUGUUGUUCUUGAUGAUGUUGAUAACAUUCAACACUUAAAAUGCUUGGUUGGAAGGCAUGAUUGGUUCGGAUUAGGGAGUAGAAUCAUUGUAACAACAAGAGAAGAACAUUUGCUUCGAUCUUGGCCAGUUGAUGAUUUGUAUGAGCCCACAACAUUGAAUCCCAAAGAUGCGCUUCAACUUUUCAGUCUGAAAGCUUUUCAUAGUGAUACAGUGCCGAAAGGUGAUUUCAUUGAGCUUUCUUGCCAUGUUGUAAAAUAUGCUGGUGGGCUCCCGUUAGCUCUUGAAAUUUUGGGUUGCUUUUUAUGCGGUAGAGAUGCGACUCAAUGGAGAAGUGCAAUUGAAAGACUUAAAAGAGAUUCUAAUAAAGAAAUUCUCGAUAAACUUCGAAUUAGUUUUGAUGGACUGGAAGAAAGGGAGAAGAAUAUAUUUCUAGAUAUAGCAUGCUUCUUCAAUGGGAAGGAGAAAGAUUUUGUAAUGAAAGUAUUGGAUGGUUGUGAGUUUUUCCCAAAUAUUGGCAUUGAUGUUCUCAUUAAAAAAUCUCUUAUAAAAGUUCUCAUUAAAAAAUCUCUCAUAGAAGUCGAUGAACACAAAUAUUUGUGGAUGCAUAACUUGUUGCAAGAAAUGGGAAGAAAAAUUGUUAGAGAAAAAUGUGUUGAUGAACCUGGAAAACGUUGUAGAUUGUGGGAGGGAAGAGACGUCCAUCAUGUCCUAACAAAAAACACUGUAAUUUUGAGAUAAGUCAUGUUUGAUGUUUACAAAUAUUAAAAAGGAUUUGUAGAAAUUUCAUUGCAUUACCCUUUUUAGAGCAUAAUAUUUGUAGAAAUUGUUUUACUACGUUUAAAAUGCUUUAUUUAUUAUAUUUAGAAUAUAAUAAUGCUGAAUAAAAAUGUAAGUUUCUAAAAGUUUUAUCCUACAUUAUACACCAUUUAUUUUGUUUUCUUAUUUUCUAUUCUUGAUUUUUCUUAGGGUACAAAAAUGAUUGAAGGUAUAGUCAUCGAUAAUAUAAGGUAAGAAGACACAUCAACUUAUAUUUAUGUGUACCGUAAAUAAUAAUUUUAUUUUUUUUAAAUAUGAUAAGAAAUUAUAGUAAAACCUUUGACACUCAAUAUUUCAAUGUUUAAUUAUGAAAUUAAUCUAGUAGCGUAUUACUCUUUCAAAAGAAUCAAUAGAGAAAUGUAUGUCUUUUUGAAAUAUUAAUAGUAUAUCAAUGAAUUAGAUUAUAACAUAACUUUUAGAUAUUGAAUGUUUUUGUAUAUUGUGAAGCUUAUUUUCAUUUUGUUUUAUUCAUGAUUAUUAGGGAAUCGAGUAAGAUGCUCAACUUGAGUGUCGAUGCCUUCUCAGAAAUGAAAAAAUUGAGAUUGCUCAAAGUGCUUUGCCUAUCAAAUUGUGAUGAUCUCAAAUUUCUUUCUAAUGAGUUACGGCUUUUAGAUUGGAAAUGAUGCCCUGUAAGAUCGUUGCCUUCAAGCUUCCAACCGGAAAACCUUGUUGCACUUCUUUUACCAUAUAGUCGCAUUCAACAACUAUGGAAGGGAAAUAGAGUAAGAAUUAACUCAUCUCAUCCUUAUAUUUUAGCUUAUUUUAAUAUAAAUGAUUAAACUUUGAUUAAGGUAAAAAAACAAAAAUAAGCAUUAUUAUGUUUUCUCAUUUGUUUCUAAUUUAUUCUGAUCUUCAACAGCCCUUGUGUAAGUUGAAAAUGAUGCAAUAUGAUUAAAUCUCUACUUGCUGCCUAUGGCAUGAGCAUCAAUGGUGGAACCUAAACAAUUAAGCUGAAUGAUGUUCACCACUGAUCCUAUGAAUCAAAACCAGCCAAUAACAAGUCAACUGUCAAAAAGAAUUCAAGUAUGAAUCUUAAUCUCUCCUCACUACAAUGCUCAAACCACAUGAGAGCAGUAACAUACAAAGAAAUUUCGGCCCAAACUGAUAUGAUAAUCAAAAUCCAAGAUAAGAAAAUAUCAACUCCAAUAGCUCUACCAUGAAACUAACCCAAUCUAGCUUGAGAAUGAAAACUGUCAAAGGUUGCCUCCAGCUCCAUGUGUUUAUCCCACAAGUUUUGAGAUCUGUUGCAAAUUCUGGAUUUAUAUAAUCCCAUUGAUAAAUAUGGGAAAAAUGGUGAGGAUGCUGAAAAUCAUUAUAUGAACCUAAAAUCAUGAUAAUAAGUCAAAGUCAAAAGUAACUUACUUCUCCACCAAAACUGAAUUGCCAGAACCCAAAAAGGGGCUCAAAAGAUUACUUUGACUUUGUGUUGACAAAUCUGUUGACAACUUGCAUUGUCACCAAGUAUCAGUUCAAACACUAGUAUAAAGCAAGCAUUCAGUAAAUAAAAUUGAAGGUCUUACAGCUCAGGUGUUCCUCCUUGUAUGGCUAAAGCUCCAAUUCAGCAGUGGCAUUCCCAAAGAUUAGUCAUUCCCUAAUCAUACAUCAACACAGAAGUAAAGGAUAUAAGAAAAAACAAUCUCACAAAUAACCAAUCUUUCUAAUGAAUCAAGAUAUAAUUGAAGGAAAAUGCAGCAAGUAUUGAGAUACCAGAUGAUACCAACGCUGGAACUAAACAAUGAAGCUGAACCGACUCCACCAUUGGUCCUACGAAUUAAAAAAAAACAACCAAUAAGAAGUCAACUGUCAAUAAGAAUUAAGUAUGAAUUUUGGUACCCACCAAAAUCCCCUAUGGAUAUUUUAUCAACUCCAAAGCAGAAUCAUUUUGCUACUGUAUUGAAAUCUCCAGUUACUGUUCAAAUUUCCUCCAAAUUAAUUAAUAUAUAUGGAGAAUUUCCUUCUUGGACAAUAUAUGCUAUAUCUACAACAGAACACAGACACGGCAGGGGAAUGAAGAUGAGAAAAAUAAUAGUAAGCAACAAUCACAACUGUUGAACAAAUUUCCAAUUUUAUGUUUCAUAAAUUAUGCUUUUAACAUUUACAAUGUGGAACUACAAGGUUUCAGUAUGGUAAAGCACCUUCUAGAAGACAAGUAAUUUAUAAAGCAGAGCAAGUUUUAGAUUCAUCCUGGUUGGUUUUAAUUAAUUAAAGCACUUCAUUUUGUGUCACUAAUUUAUAAGUUGAAAAUUUACUAUUAACAAUUGUGGAAAACAGAAGUAUGACAAUAUGAAAAAGAAAUGAAAAAACUGAAAAUUUUAUGAUAAUAUGAAAAAAUGAGAUGAAAAUGAAACCCCUACCUAUGCAUUUGAAUGACAUAAUUGAGAAGUUGAAAGUCCUCAAAAGCAGAGCCCAAGAUGGAAAGAAAUACAAACUAUUUCAAUCUUUUAAGUCCUCCAUCCGCUUCUUCACCAUCAUGGCUAAAGCUUCUUUUGUUCCCAGCAUGUCUCUUUUCGGUAGCAUCUGAAGCAUCUGUAGCAUCUGUAUCACUCUCUGCAUCCACGUAAAAUACAUGAACACCACAUCUCUCCACCUUGAUAUACUCUUUUCCUCCUCUUCUUAAAUCCAAAAGUCUGAUGUAGAAUUUGAAUGAUGCCUCCUCAUAAUUCUGGUCUUCUUUAACCAUGUCGGCGGUAGAUAGAAUAAACACGUGAUAAUCCUUGUACUUCUCUGGCUCAGGAUGGCUCAGGAAACAAUAACAAAGAUAUUUUACUUCUUAGCUUUUCAUAACCACCACCACCACCAUCAUUUCCACCACCGGCGGCUGUAAGUUGGUACUUACAAAUACAUUCAACAUCACUAAUGUAACGGCAGUGAGUGAGAUCAGCCACAAGGCAGAUAACAAAAACCAAAAAUCUGCUCCCGCCACCCCCAUUUGGGGCUGUCUUCAAGCUUAAGGAAGAAUUCAUGCUCUGACACUUGAACUUAUUUGCUGAAAUUUUGUUUCCUGGGAAACAACAAAUCAAACUUGACAAAUCAGGAAUCUUGCCACAGCAAUCAAAUCUCGCUGCCCAUUUCUUAGCUAGGGAUCGAAUUUUGAGCAUGGCAUUUGCCUCAAUGUUAUUAAUUGACUCUUGAUUCAAGUUGAAGCAAUUACGGAAUAGCAUGGUAAACUCAUAAAAACAAGCAUCACCAGCAUCUAAAUAAUCAAACUGAUAUAAAUUUUGAUCUGCAAAGGAAACUUUUUCCAAUGAUGUGCAGUCAAGUACGUUCAACUUGAGCAGAUAUGGUGGAAGCUCUGUGAGUAAUUUGAGGCUCUUGCAACGAUCCAUAUGCAUAUACUUAAGGCUUUUAAACCUCAAGCUUGGUGAGCGCACAUCAACAGUUGGAAAUUUAACGAUUGGACAACCACUAAGAUCUAGAGAAAAAAGGGAUUUCAACUUUGAAAUAUUGCUUGAUACAUCUUUUACCAUUGAGUUUGUCAAGGUCAACCAUUGAAGUCUGUCGAGAUGCUCAAUGAAAUCAGGUACUUCUUUUAUUCCGGUUUCUGAUAAAUCUAACUCAUAAAAUUAAUUUGAGAUCUUUGGAAACUUCUUGAGACUACGACAUCCCUCAAGGCGAAGGGUUUUAAGUGAUGUCAAACGGGCGAGGGAAGGAAGUUUAACCAAACUUUCGCAAUUUUCACAGUCAAGUCUUUCCAGGUUGAGGGCUCCUAAUAAAUUAGGGAUCUUCUUUAAAUUUUUGCAACUGAAAAGGUUAAUUUUCCGUAAAUGAACAAGAUCCUGCACAUGAUGAGAACAUAAAGUAGUUGGAGCAUCAUUUACUUAGACUCUAUCAAAAUAAAAUUUAUAUUUGAUGUAUUGGGUGUAUUAAUUCACCCACCAUCAAUACAUCAAACUGUUUCUUUUAAAAAAUAGAAUAAAAUCUUUUAUAUUUAUUUUUUAAAAAAUUUAAUAAAAAUAUGUUAUUUAAAUGCUAUAUCAAUUACAAUUUUUUUUUCUUAGAAAAGUUCUUCGAUAAAGAAAGUAUAAAAGUAUAUAUACCUGAUGAACUUCGUUCCAAAGUUGUUUCAUGUUUCCAUAUGGUAAUUCCAAUGCAAUAAGGUUCUUUGGAUUAAAACUUGAUGAUAAAGAUUUGAAGGGGUAAUAAUCCCAUCGAAGAUACCUUAGCUCAUCCGGAAGAGAUAUAAUAUCAUCUUGGUCUGUAUGUAGCUUCUUAUAAUCCUCAUGCUCUUUCCUCAACCAACUCGAAGGAAAAUAGAAGAAAAUACAUCUAAGAUUAAUCAUGCUUUCAAAGACAGAAGGUUGGAAUAAUAGGUUACCCAUACGUGACAUGUCUACCUUUAUUCCUUAAAUUCGAUCAGUUCCCUGAUAACAAAAACCAAUUUAUCAAAUAUUAGUAUGGAGAAAUUUAUGAACAUUCCAUUAAAUAACUCAUAAAAAUUAGUGCUUACUUUAUUAUAUUUGAGCACUUCUUCCACGUGUUUAAGAUUCCAUAGUCGACUGCACUUACCAAGGGUUUUAGAUUCUUGACAAACAAUGUCCUUUCCCAUCUCUUCAAGCGUAUCAUGCAUAUAAAUUGUAUCUGGACGUCUGAAACUGCGCAUUGCAGAAUAACCAAAAUAACCAAUGAGACAUUGAUGAGGCAUUUGUCAACCAAUUUGUUUAUUCCACACUCUGCACCCUUAUAACAACCACUUAGAAUAAGUUUUGUUCUUUUUAUGGGUUCCCCUUUAAAGAAGCAUGCAAUGUCAAGAAAUAUAUUCUGCUCUACUAAAUCUAGCCCGUCAUAACUACUUUUCAAAGCCUCUGAAUUUUUUUUUUCUGGGGGACAGUCCUUUAGCUUCUCCACCUUACUUUCCCAAUAAUUUAUACUUCUUUUAUUUAAAUCAGAACCCAAAACUUUAAGAGCAAGUGGAUUGCCUUGAGUGUACUUUACAAACCUACGGGAUAGAUCUUGAAAGCCAACUGCGGGAUUCAACUGCUUAAACGCAAAGUUAGAAAAAAGUUGAAGAGAACAGUUCUCAUUUAACCCUUUCACCUCAUGUAUUGUGUCAGCUCCUCCACUCUCAAGAACUUGUCUAUCUCUUGAUGUUAUAAUGGUUUUACUUCCAUAACCAAAAUGUCUAACACCCAUAUAAUCUAUUUGGUCUGAGUCAUCAACAUCAUCGAGGACAACAAGUACUUUCAUCUUGUUGAGUCUCUCUUGACUUAAAGUGGAUCCAAUGGAGGGGGUGCCUAUAUCCACAUUUGAUUUCAAUAAUUCCGAAAGAAAUUUAUUUCGUAAAGAUCCCUUCCCUUGUUUUUUUAUUUCCUCUCUAACAUUUUCAAGAAAGCAAUGACUUUCAAACUCUGAAGAGAGUUUUUUAUAUACACUUACAUUUAUAUUUUAUUUGUAGGUUGAAGUAAAUAUAAUCAAUAUGAGAUAGAGAUGUGAAGAAAAAUGGAUAGUUUCGUGACAAAGCAGGUAAUAAUAAAGUGAAAAAUCCUUUAACGAGGAUAAGAUCAUAAUUUGGGCUGAGUUAAAAAUUAUUUCAUUUUUAUUUGAGACCAACUCAUGUUUUCAAUUUAAUCAAUCAAAAUUGUUUUUAUAUAUUUGGAAUAUUAAAUAUAAGUCAUUUACAAUACUUUCCUCUAAUAAAAGUACCAUUUACAUUUCAUGGCUUGAAGUACAAAUAAUAUUAUUCCAACUCUUCCAUUAAUAUUUUUUAUAAAGUAUUUUUGUUUAGACAUUUGUUUUUAACACUUACUCAAAUGUGAAUAUAAAUAUUAUGCUCUUUUAAUUAAUUGGAAGAUAUUUUUCGUGUGAGAGACGUCACAUUCAUAUCCAAUAUUUAAAAAAAUAUAUUAAAAGAUUCAUUUUUUGAUCAUUCUAUAUUAGGGGUAGAGAUAUGAUUUUGGUUGACGUGAGCAAGAUUUUCAACGGUUGUGUUUUCUGUGAUAUCAAGAAAAAUUUCUCAAUUUGAGAUAAGUUAAUAUAUGAGCGAUAUAGAUCAAUCUUUUUCUAUGAUAUCAAGAAUAAUUUUUUUAAUAUUACUUUUAAUACUAUAAAAAUAUUGGAGGGGCCUACUUAUAUUUUUAGGAGGGUUAUAAUAUAUAAUAAAGGGGGAAACUACAAAAAUCUUAAGCCUUAUGGGACCUACUUAUAUUUUUGGGAGGGUCAUAGUAUAUUUACAAAGGACUAAAUUUAAAAAAAUUAAAUUAAUUUUUUUAGGGCUAUGGCCCAUGGGCCUCUACAUGGCUCCGUCGUUGCAUCCAUGCAAAAUCGAGAAAGAAAUGAAUAAGAUGAUCUUCUAACUCCCUAUCCCAAGCCCUAACAUAGGCCAGGGCAAAGUCAAGACAUUUUUGAGGGGGUCGAAAUUAAAUUUUAUUUUUUAUGAUAGUAAAAAUGUAAUUUUAUCAUUUUAAUAGUUUGUAUAUUUAUAAUUUUUAAAGGAUUAAAUUAAAUUUUUAUCAUUUUUAGGAGAGCCAAACUGUAAUUUUGUCAUUAUAAAUUUAAAAUUUUAAGGGCCAUAAAUGGAAAUUUUCCAUUUUAGGGGUUGGUGCCAUAUAAAAAGAAAAUAAAAUAUAAAUAAAAAAACAAAAAAACCAUGCGAGGCUUAGUCCUCAUUCAUUCUGUAGGUUAAUCUCUCCUUGCAGGACCUCAGGUCGAAUGAUUUAUUUAACCAUCAAAUUUUAUAAAAAAAUUUAUUUUAGUUAUUUAUUUAAUUUUUUGCUUUUUUAGCUUUUUUUACUUAUGUUUUCUAUCAAAUUAUCCUAAAAUUUAAUAGAAAGGUUAAUUUUUUUUAAUUUUGCUGAUAUAGCAUACAUGUAGAUUAUCAUAUGAAUGGCAUAUCACCAUUUAAUUAAUUUUUUAAAAUUUAAAAAAAUAAAAAAUAUUUAAAAAUUAAUUAAAUACUGACAUGUUAUUCGCAUGGCAAUCUACAUGUAUACUGCAUCAGCAAAAUGAAUAAAUAUUAAUUUUCUUAUUUAUUUUAAAGUGUUUUGACAAAAAAUUUAAAAGAAAACACAAACUUAAGAAAACUUGCAAUUAUUGUAGGCUCCAUUUUAUCAACACCCACCUUGUUGGAUUCAUAUGCAUCACUCAUUUAUGACCAAAUGAAAAGGUUAUAGAGAAAUUGCUUAGAAACCACCUUUAUUCUUCCCUGGAAAUUUGAUCUGUUUCUAGUUUCUUUCAGACGUAUUGAGCGAUCAAUUUUCUGAUUUUCAACACUACAUCCACAUAUUUUUUUCUCUCGCUCAUCUUCAUGUCGUCAUUACCUUCAACUUCUUCCUCCAUUUCUAGAAAGAAAUAUGAUGUUUUCUUGAGUUUUAGAGGUGAAGAUACCCGCACCAACUUUACCGAUCAUCUCUAUGAUGCUUUAAGUAGGAGUGGGAUCGUCACUUUCAGGGAUGAUCCAAAGCUGGAGGCCGGCGAAGAGAUCGCGCCUGAACUCUUUACAGCAAUUCAGCAAUCAUGGUGUUCGGUAAUCGUUUUUUCGCAAACUUAUGCCUUUUCAAGUUGGUGCUUGGAGGAGCUUGCUGAGAUUGUUAAACAACAUAACAACGACGGCCAUAUAGUGUUUCCAAUUUUUUACGAUGUUGAUCCAUCUGAUUUAAGAAAACAAAAAGAGAAAGUGGAAGAAGCCUUUGCUAGACAUGAAGAGAGAUACAAAGAAGAUAGGGAGAAGAUCCAAAGGUGGCGAAAUGCUUUAAUUCAAGUGGCUGGAAUCAAGGGAUGGCAUUUAAAUAACAGGUAACUUUUUUCUUUCUUUCUAAUCCUAUGUGUUUAAUUGAAAAGUGUCUUGGUUCUUGUUUGCUUCCAAAGUAUAUUAUGUUUCAUGAUUCAUUGAAAAAGAAAGUGCAUUUGGUAAUAUGAAAAAAUAAAUUAUUCAAAAAAUUAAAAUUUCUUUUCUUGUAGGCAUGAAUCGGAAUUUAUUAGAGAGGUUAUUAAGAAGAUAUCAGCAAAACUAUGUCACCCAGUUACUCAUAGUCACUUGGUUGGAAUGACUGAAUGCUUGGAGGAUUUAUAUUUGAAAAUAAACAUUGGGGAAAAUGAUGUCCGCAUUAUAGGGAUUUGCGGAAUGGGUGGUAUCGGUAAAACAACACUCGCAAGACUUGCUUAUAAUCAAAUGUCACAUCAUUUUGAAAGUAAAAGCUUUAUUGCUGAUAUUCGAGAAGUUUCAGACAGAUGUGGAUUAGUUUCUUUACAGAAACAACUCCUUUCGGAGAUUUUUCAUGAUGAAUGCUUCAAAUUUUUCAAUGUUCAUGAAGGGAAUGAUAUAAUUAGUCAUAUGUUGUCUCGCAAAAAGGUUCUUAUUGUUCUUGAUGAUGUUGAUAACAUACAACACUUAAAAUGCUUGGUUGGAAGGCAUGAUUGGUUCGGAUUAGGGAGUAGAAUCAUUGUAACAACAAGAGAAGAACAUUUGCUUCGGUCUUGGCCAGUUGAUGAUAUGUAUGAGCCCACAACAUUGAAUCCCAAAGAAGCGCUUCAACUUUUCAGUCUGAAAGCUUUUCAUAGUGAUACAGUGCCGAAAGAUGAUUUCAUUGAGCUUUCUUACCAUGUUGUAAAAUAUGCUGGUGGGCUCCCGUUAGCUCUUGAAAUUUUGGGUUGCUUUUUAUGCGGUAGAGAUGCUACUCAAUGGAGAAGUGCAAUUGAAAGACUUAAAAGAGAUUCUAAUAAAAAAAUUCUCGAUAAACUUCGAAUCAGUUUUGAUGGACUGGAAGAAAGGGAGAAGAAUAUAUUUCUAGAUAUAGCAUGCUUCUUCAAUGGGGAGGAGAAAGAUUUUGUAAUGAAAGUAUUGGAUGGUUGUGAUUUUUUCCCAGAUAUUGGUAUUGAUGUUCUCAUUAAAAAAUCUCUCAUAAAAGUCGAUGAACACAAAUAUUUGUGGAUGCAUAACUUGUUGCAAGAAAUGGGAAGAAAAUUUGUUAGAGAAAAAUGUGUUGAUGAACCUGGAAAACGUUGCAGAUUGUGGGAGGAAAGAGACGUCCAUCAUGUCCUAACAAAAAAUACUGUAAGUCAUUUAACAAAAGUUACAUACUAUUUCUAUUUUGUUAUAUAAUAUCAAAUCAAUAUAUGAUAUAAAUCCAAAGCUUAGUCUAAUUGGUUGGUUGAUACAACUAUUCUUAAAAAGUGAUAUUUAGUAAUUUUGAGAUAAGUCAUGUUUGAUGUUUACAAAUAUUAAAAAGGAUUUGUAGAAAUAAAUAUUUAAUUUCAUUGCAUUACCCUCUUUAGAGCAUAAUAUUUGUAGAAAUUGUUUUACUUCAUUUAAAAUACUUUAUUUAUUAUAUUUAGAAUAUAAUAAUGCUAAAUAAAAAUGUAAGUUUUUAAAAUUUUGUUUUCUUAUUUUCUAUUCUUGAUUUUUCUUAGGGUACAAAAAUGAUUGAAGGUAUAAUCAUUGAUAAUAGAAGGUAAGAAGACACAUAAACUUAUAUUUAUGUGUACUGUAAAUAAUUAUUUUAUUUUUUAAAAUAUGAUAAGAAAUUAUAGCAAAACCUUUUACACUCAAUAUUUCAAUGUUUAAUUAUGAAAUUUAUCUAAUAGCGUAUUACUCUUUCAAAAGAAUCAAUAGAGAAAUGUAUGUCUUUUUGAAAUAUUAAUAGUAUAUCAGUGAAUCAGAUAACUUUUAGAUAUUGAAUGUUUUUGUAUAUUAUGAAGCUCAUUUUCAUUUUGUUUUAUUCUUGAUUAUUAGGGAAUCGAGCAAGAUGCUCAACUUGAGUGUCGAUGCCUUCUCAAAAAUGAAAAAAUUGAGAUUGCUCAAAGUGCUUUGCCUAUCAAAUUGUGAUGAUCUCAAAUUUCUUUCUAAUGAGUUACGGCUUCUAGAUUGGAAAAGAUGCCCUUUAAGAUCGUUGCCUUCAAGCUUCCAACCGGACAACCUUGUUGCACUUCUUUUACCAUAUAGUCGCAUUCAACAACUAUGGAAGGGAAAUAGAGUAAGAAUUAACUCAUCUCAUCCUUGUAUUUUAGCUUAUUUUAAUAUAAAUGAUUAAACUUUGAUUAAGGUAAAAAAAACAAAAAUAAGCAUUAUUAUGUUUUCUCAUUUGUUUCUAAUUUAUUGUGAUCUUCAACAGCCCUUGUGUAAGUUGAAAAUGAUGAACCUUGAAGGGUCCCAAAACCUGAUCAAGACACCAGACUUCACAACGGCAUCAAAUCUUGAAGUUCUAAUAUUGAAAGGUUGUACCAAAUUAGUGGAUGUUCAUCCAUCAAUCGCAGUACUUAAGAGCCUUAAAGUUUUGAAUUUAAGAGAUUGCAAAAGUCUUAGGAGUCUUCCGACCAUAAUUGGAAUGGAAUCUCUUGAAACAUUAAUUCUUUCGGGUUGCUCAAGUCUUGUAAGGUUUCCGGAGAUUGAUGGGAAAAUAGAACGUCUAAAAACUCUAGAUCUUUCCGGUUGUUAUAGAGUUGAAAAAUUAUCGGAGAAUUUGCAGCAUGCAAAGUUUUUGGAAGAGCUCGACUUGAGUGAAACAGCCAUAACAGAACUACCAUCCUUCAUUUUUCAAUUUAAAAAUCUUAAAGUUCUGUCUUUCAAUGGAUUCAAAAGAGUAAGGACAAAUUCCAUCGCUUCGAUGUUACCUUCAUUGUCAGGUUUGAGUUCAUUAAGAAGGCUAAGUCUAAUGGACUGCAAUCUUUGUGAAGGAGAUAUUCCACCUGAUAUUUCUGGUCUAUCCUCUUUGGAAGAACUUAAUCUUAGUGGUAACAAUUUCAUCAGCAUACCUGCAUCUCUUACUCGACUCUCCAAGCUUGAAGAGCUUAUAUUGUCAAAUUGCAACAUGUGUACUCUUGGCGAAGCAGAUAUUCAUGGUCUAUCCUCUUUGAAACGGCUUUUUCUUAACGGUAACAAUUUCAUCACCGUUCCUUUGGCUCUGACUCAACUUUCCGAGCUUAAAUUGCUUGCAUUAUCAAAUUGCAUGAAGCUUAACUCGUUGCCUGAGCUACCAACAAGUAUAGUAGUUGUGAGUAUAGAUAGUUGUUCUUCACUUGAAGUAGUUGCAAGUCCAUCAACAGUAUGCAAUUUAAUGCAUUCGGAUGCCGUUAAAGCCAUUAACUGCUUCAAAUUGGCUGAGAAUAUCAAUGCAUUAACACAGCUGAAAAAACAUCUUAAGGUCGAUUAUCUCUUUUUUCUCUCAUACUUGAGAAUUUAUGGUUUUAGUUACCAGACGACUUGUGUUCUAUUUUGCAGGCAUUUGCAAAUUCAAAAGAAAAGUUUGAUAUUAUUAUGCCCGGAAGUGAAAUCCCAGGAUGGUUUAGCCAACAAAAAGGUGACUUCUUUAUUAAGAUUCCCUUACCUAUCAACCUUCAAGAGGAAUGUGAAUGGAUUGGAGUUGCUUGUUGCUGCAUUUUUGUCAAUAAUGAUGCUUCAAGGGAUGUGGGCUUUAUCGACUGUGGAGCGUUAAUGUAUGGUAGAAAUCGUCGACAGAUUGAGAGGAGAGGCUAUUUGGUGGGUAAACGAUUCGGCAAGCCCAUAAUGAAAGAUCACAUUUUUCUUCGUUAUUGGUCGCGUGAUAAGCUAUAUCCAUUUUCCUUGAAGGAUAAAUAUGGUGGCUGUGAAACUCAUAAUUUACGGACAACAGAUUGCGUAGAUCAUAAACGUGAUGGGCUUCAUGUGUUUUUCAAUGGUCAUAGCCUUAAGGUGAAGAAAUGUGGUGUUAGAAUAGUGUAUGAGAAAGAUUUGGAAGAAAUAGAAGAGUUGCAGUGCCAUAUCACUCAAUCUUCACCAAAUUUUGAACACAUCCACCAACACACUGCUCAAAACAAUGGAUCAAUAGGUAGCACUUCUGACAUAAAACAAAAACGCAAUAUCUCCGAGGAAACGGAGGAAGAAGGGCUGCAACCAAAGCUGAUGCAAAAAAUUUUCAAUUUUAUAAUGGGCCAAUCAAGGAAGAAGCAUUAACUGUGGUAAACUACUUAACCAAUCUUUUAUUUAAAGUGAUCAAUCUAGACUUAUUUACGAUCCUUCUUACAUACCAAAAACUUAUAAAUCUUUUACUCAUAUUCAACAGGAGCUCAUAUCAUAGUUUAUAUAUAUCAUUUAAAAUUUUAGUUGCUUAUAAAUUCAUUCCUUUUUACAUAACUGAAAUGUGUAAAUUUUGAUUGGUUUCAUUUUUUAUUAAAAUUUUAUUUUCAUUAUAUAUACACUUACAUCUAUAUUUUAUUUGUAGGUUGAAAUAAAUAUAAUCAACUCGAGAUAGAAAUGUAGAGAAAAAUGGAUAGUUUCGGUGACAAAACAGGUAACAAUAAGGUGAAAUCCUUUAAUAAAGAUCAGAUCAUAAUUUGGACCGAGUUAAAAACCAUUUUAUUUUUAUUUGAGACUAACUUAUGUGUUCAAUUUAAUCAGUCAAAAUUAUUUUUAUAUAUUCAAAAGAUUAAAAAUAAGUCUUUUCUAAUACUUAAUAAUAUUACUCCAACUACUCCUAAUAAAAGUAUCAUUUAAAUUUCAUGGUUUGUAGUAGAAAUAAUAUUAUUCCAACUCUUAAGUUUAUGUAUUUUUUUGUAAAGUAUUUAUGUUCAGACAUUUAUUUUUAAAACUUACUCAAGUAUGAAUAUAAAGUGUGCUAGAAAAUCUUUUACGUGUGAGAGAAAUAUUCAUAUCAAAUAUUUUUUUUUUAAAUUCAAUAAAUUCAUUUUUUGUUCUUGUCUAAUUUUAGGGUUUAGAGAAAUAAAGAUAUGAUUUUUUACUGACAUGAGCAAGAUUUUCAACUGUUGUGUUUUUUGUGAUAUUAACAAAAUUUUCUUGAUUUGUGCUAAGUUAAUAUACUAGUGAUAGAGAAAGGAUUAUAUGAAACUGUAAUUCUACGUCAUUCCUAUAGAUUUUCAAUAGGAGAAUGACAACUCAAAAUUUUAGUAUUUUUAGUUGAAUUUGAAUUUUUUGGGAGGAAAAAGCUAAAAAUCAAGAAAAAAAAUAUGUUUUUUUAUUCUCCUAUUAGAAGGUGGUAAGGAUGAUUUGGAAUCACAGUUUUAUAAAAUUUCUUCUCGCUAGUAAUAUAGAUGAUCUCAAUGCAACAAAAAUAACCUUGGUGUUUUAUGUUUGUCCCCUAGGCUUAAUAGAAGUACGAAAGUUUGGUCAAAGGAUCAUGCAAGUGAGGGACCAACAAAAGUCUUCAAGUUGAAAUGAAAGCGGACACUUUAGCAAUAAUUAGUUGUUUUUUUACAUGUAAUGUAAAUUAUAGUAUUUUAAAUCAACUUUUUGAAUUUGUUGCUUGUAUAAUGUAAAUUCAAAUAGUUAUUUAAUUGUAAUGUGAGUAAAACCUUUUAAAUUAGGCAUAAUGACAAAAAAGGUUCUUAGUGUUUAUAAAAUUUGACAAUUUAACCCUUAUUUUUUAAAGCAAUUAAGCUCUUAACAUUUUAUUUUGAGUCAAAUUAUGGAUUUUUUAAUGCAAAAUGCUUAUUGAACUGUUAAUAGUGUUGACUCGACAUGAAUAGUAAAUUCAUUCCUUUUUACAAAUUUUAGUCACUCAAUUCAUUCCUUUUUACAUAAAUGAAAUGUAUAUAUUUUGAUUGGUUUCACUUUUUUUUUUAAUUUUAAUUUUAUUGUAUAUAUAUAUUAACUUACAUCUAUAUUGGGAAGAUUAAAUAUAAGUCUUUUAUAGUACUUAAUUAAAUAGGUUUAAUUCGUUCUAAUAAAAGUGACAUUUAAAUUUCAUGGCUUGAAGUACAAAUAAUAGUAUGCCAACUCUUUAGUUUAUAUUGUUUAUAAAGUAUUUAUAUUUAAACAUUUAUUUUUAACACUUAUUCAAACAUGAAAAUAAAGUAUGCUCUUUUAAUUAAUUGGAAAAUCCUUUUUGUGUGUGAGACUUAUUCAACCCUUUUUUUUUUCUUUUAAUUCAAUAGAUUAAUUUUUUGUUCUUGUCUAAUUUCUUUUUUCUGUUCUUGUCAAUGGUUGUGUUUUCUGUAAUAUCAACAAAACUUUCUCAAUUUGAGGUAAUUAAGUUAAUAUACCAAUGAUAAUGAUGAUAUCAAUGCAACAAAAAUAAUCUUGGUGUUUUAUGUUUGUCCCCUAGACCGUUAGAAGCAUGGCUCAAAGGAUAAUGCAAGUAAGGAAUCGACAAAAGUCAAGUUGAAAUGGAAGUCAACACUUUCGCAUUUGGAUGAAUUUACAAAAUUACGAUUUAAAAAAAUAGAAUAUGUUAUUAUAUAAUUUGUUAUUUUUUACUUGUAAUGUAAUGUAAAUUAUACUAUUUUAAAUGGGGUUUUUGAAUUUUUUUUUGUAAAAUAUAAAUUUAAUUGUAAUGUUAAUAAAACCUUUUAAAUAGGUAUAAUGAAAAAAAAAUGUUCUUAGCAUUUAUAAGAUUUUAUUUUGAGUUAAAUUAUAAAUUUUUUAAUGCAAAAUGUUGAUUAAACCGUUGACGUGAUAUGAAUAGUGAACUCUUUUCAAGGUUGGUCUCAAUUGGAUCAUCUUUCACAAUAGCCUUAUUUUAGUUUAUUAUGUUUUCUCAUUUGUUUCUAAUUUAUGAUGGUCUUCAACUGCCCUUGUAUAAGUUGAAAUGCGGCCGAGAUGGGAUUGCAUGUGGGAUUCUUUGAUAGACUUUUUCAAUAGUCCUGGUCUACAAGCAAUGGUUGUUUUGAAUAAGUUGUUAUGCUUUCCAUUAUUUUAGGAGUUAGUUUUGCUUUUUACGUUAGUUGUAUAGCCUAUUUAAAGAGGCUAUUUGCUCCCUAAAGAAAAAUAAAUUUCCCAAAGUUAUUUUCUUUGAUCUGUUGCUCACACAACAGUGGUCAUAGAGCCAGGUUAAUUAGCGAUAAACAAUAGUUUUUCCCCUCCUUUAUUCAACAGAAAUGGCCUCUGAUAGUUCUGUGCAACCAUCAAUUCCUCGCUUCGAUGGUCACUACGAUCAUCGGAGUAUGUUGAUGGAAAAUUUUCUCAAAUCCAAGGAGUAUUGGCAAGUUGUCUGUAACACCCCUUACCCGCAUUCCUGAUCGGAACAGAGUAUGAGGUAUUACUAAAUUUUUAAAAAAAUUUCGACAGUAUUUCUGCUUAUUUUUGCUUAAACAAUUCAAUAUUCCAACCAAGUUCAGUUGUAUAAACAUACACAAUUUAACCAUUAAUAAACACUACAUUUUAAAUCAAACCAUAACAUAUAUUUACAUGGUGACACCACAUUACAUAAGUCGUCUAUACAUGCCAUAAUUUCCGGAAUACUAGUAGCAAAAUACCCAAACGUUGAUGAUAGUGUAGAUGAUUAUCUGACUCCGUCCCAAUUCCGAGUUGAUGGAAAUCACUAUAAUCAAGGGAAAAAUAAAAACGAGUAAGCAUAUAUCUUAGAAAGUAAACAUAUGACAAAUAAAUAAAUUUUCACAUGACUACACCAUAGUAUAAAUUUAGUCACAAAUAAAUUUCAUUGUUUGUGUAAUUUCCAGCAAGCUGGUUUUCUGCGUCAUGACCACUAAUUUAUUUUUAUCCGGAGAUACAGGGAUCCAAAUUGAAUUCCGUAAAUUUUUCCUGAAACUAGACUCAUAUAUCUUUCUAUAAUAAAAUUUUCAGAAUUUUUGGUUGGGCCAAUUAGUACAGUUUAUUCUUUAAAUCUUCCCCUGUUUCACUGCCCGACAGUCCUGACCUCCCCUUAUAAAAAUUCACAUAACUCUCUGUACAAGUUUAAAACAAUGUUCUCGUUUGUUUCUAUUAAAAAUAGACUCAAAAAGGAAUCCAGGCAUAUAGAUUUCAAGCCAUAAUUAUUUUUGUAUAAUUUUUUUGUGAUUUUCCAAAGUUGGAACAGGGGAUUUCGAAAUCAAUCCAGCCCUGUAUCAGUAAAAUUCAAAUAUCUCCGAAAAUACAACUCUUUUGCUUGCUCUAUUUCUUUCAUAUGAAAAUAUACUCAUUCAGCUUCAAUUUCAUAUAUUAUUUAACCUCUAAUUCAUUUUCCAUCAUUUAUGGUGAUUUUUCAAAGUUGCCCAACUGCUGCCAUUCAAAACAGUUUUGCAUUCAAAUUGUCUCUUUUUGUAUUUUUGAUUUUCCUCCCAUCUUAUACAUGGGUUGAUUAAGUAUCAAACCCAAUAUUCCUCCCAUAAACUUGUCCACCACAUAUAUGAAUAUUCACCUUCUCAAUUUACUCGUUGAACACUCGGAUUGUUAACCGUUAUCGGUGGAUUCCGCACUUAGCAACCACCAAUGAAUCGGGGAAUCAGCACACAGCAACCCCUUGGGGGAAUUAGCACUUAGCAACCACCAAAUGGGUCGGGGAGUCAGCACUUAGCAACCCCUCGGGGGAAUCAGCACUUAGCAACCCCCUUUCACAUUUAAAAUACGGUGGAAUCAGCACUUAGCAACCACCAAUAGGUAGGGGAAUCAGCACUUAGCAACCCCCUCUCACAUUUAAAAUACGGUGGAAUCAGCACUUAGCAACCACCAAUAAUUAGGGGAAUCAGCACUUAGCAACCCCCUUUCACAUUUAAAAUACAGUGGGAUCAGCACUUAGCAACCACCAAUGAAUCGGGGAAUCAGCACACAGCAACCCCUUUAUAUGCAAUAUGCUCCCGCCUAUUCCGAGUGUUCAACCAAAACCCGUGUUUUACCACACCUUACCACCUUUCCCAAUUUAACAACAUUUUUAGAAUUUUGCCAAACAUUUAUUCUAUGUUCAAUUAAAUCUCAACUUAUAUUGAACGAUAUCCAAAUAAUGCAUUAAAUCACGUGUUUACUUACCUCGGUGCAAAAUAUCGUAAUUUUGCACUUUACUCCACUAUCUUUUCUUUUCCUCGUUUGAGGUAGUCUUCUCGUCUUUCUUGAUUAUCGAGCUUGGAAGCUUGAAAACCCUAACUAUGGCUUCCCCCCUUGCUGAUUUCGUCCUAAUGAAGAAGAUGAGCAUAUUUUGCCAUCUUUUUCCCAUUUAAUUCUAUUUAAUUUCCAAAUGACUAAAAUGCCCUUAGUAAAAAAAAUCUAUUUCACUAAUUCUAUGCCCAUUUUUGUCCAUCAACUAACUAAUGGUCUAAUUACCACAUAAAGACCUCCAAUUUAAAAUUUCAUAACAAUUAGAUACCUCUAAGAUGUAGAACUCAACUUUUUCACUUUUUACAAUUUAGUCCUUUUGACUAAAUUGAGUGCCCAAACGUCAAAAUUUUCGAACGAAAUUUUUACGAAAAUUUUUCGUAAAAUUGUAGACCAUAAAAAUAUAAUAAUAACCAUAUUUUCCCUCGUCGAAUUUGUGGUCCCGAAACCACUAUUCCGACUAGGCCCAGAAUCGGGCUGUUACAUUGUCUCUAUGGGAAUUCCGGAGUUGGCAGCAGACUAGAAAUUGACGCCUUGAAAUUGAAAGAUCUUAAGGCAAAAAAUUAUCUUUUUCAAGCGAUUGAACGUUCAACCUUGGGGACCAUCCUUUGCAAAGAUACGUCAAAGGAUAUUUGAGAUUCGAUGAAAAAGAAAUUCCAGGGAUCAACUAGAGCAAGGAGGCAGCAGCUUCAGGCACUUCGCUCAGAGUUUGAACUUCAUCGGAUGUAAUCUAGGGAGACCAUUUCAAACUUCUUCUUAAGAACGAUGGUUAUUAUCAGCAAGAUGAGAACAUUUGGAGAGAAAUUAGAGGAUGUGGUUGUAGUCGAAAAAAUUCUUCGCUCAUUGACACCAAAGUUCAACUAAGUGGUAUGUUCCAUUGAGGAAUCAAAAGAUAUUGAUUUUUCAUCCAUUGAUGAAUUGCAAGGUUCUUUGCUGGUUCAUAAAAGAAAAUUGCAGCAGCAAGAUAAUGUAGAAUCAGCAUUAAAAAUUUCAUCAGAUCAUUUGGUUAAAGGCAAUGGAGGACGCAGAUCGAAUAGCCACAAUGACAAAAGUCGAGGCAGAGGUCAUAGCAGAGGUCGUGGUAGAGGAAACUAUGGCUAUCGACAGAAUUCAAGAAACCAAUCUUAGGAAAGAGGGAGAAGACAUGGCAGUUACCGCACAUAGUCAGCAGACAAAUCAAAUGUUGAGUGCCAUCGUUGUCACGAGUAUGAAUCAGAAUGCCGGACCACUUUCUUAGAUACAUAUGGGGAUGAAUCCAAUUUUAUUGGAAAAGAAGGUGAGCAAGAUGAAGAGAUAUUAUUGUUGAUGGUAUGUCAUGCAAAAGAACCUACCAACAAGCAUUUGUGGUAUUUAGACACCGGAUGCAGUAAUCACAUGAGUGGAGAUAAGUCAAUUUUUUUAACUUUUGAUGAAUCAUUCAAAGAUGGUGUGAAGUUUGGCAAUGAUAUGAAGAUCUCUGUGAUGGGUAAAAGACAGGUAACUAUUCUAAAUAAAAGGAAUGUUACUCAAAUCAUUUCUAAUGUUCUUUAUGUCCCGGAUUUAAAAACCAAUUUGUUAAGUAUUGGUUAGUUGCAAGAGAGGGGUUACGAAAUUAAAAUUAAAAAUGGGAUGUGUCGAGUUCAAGAUGGAAAAUUAGGAUUAAUUGCUCAAGUUGCAAUGACAGCAAAUCGGAUGUUUCUGAUCUACCUCAAUCAUUUUACUCAGUCAUGUUUUGCGGCAAACUUAUCUGAUCUAAUGCAGCUAUGGCAUUUUUGUUAUAGUCAUCUCAGUUUUGGAGGCUUACAAACGCUUCAGCAAAAAAACAUGGUAGCUGGCCUUCCACAAUUUUCUUGUCCUGCAUAUGUAUGCGAGGAAUGUGUGCUCAGUAAGCAACAUCGAGAACCAUUUCUAAAAGGAAAGAUUGAAAGAGCGAGAAACCUAUUGGAGAUAGUGCAUUCUGAUAUUUGUGGGCCAAUUAAUCCCAUUUCUAAUGGAGGUAAACGCUAUCUUAUCACCUUUAUAGAUGAUAUGAGUAGAAAAACAUGGGUUGAUUUUUUAUAGGAAAAAUCUGAAGCUUUAAUUACUUUUAAAAGAUAUAAAGCAUUUGUGGAAAAAGAAGAAGGUCAUUCUAUACAAGUAUUGCGGACUGAUCAUGGAGGAGAAUAUAAUUUGCAUGAAUUCACCUAAUUUUGUGAUGAGCAUGGAAUUAAAAGAAAAUUGACAGCAGCCUAUACACCUCAACAGAAUGGUGUAUCCGAAAGAAAGAAUCGAACCUUUUUCAACAUGGUGUGAAGUUUAUUACAGUGAAGCAGAGUUCCUAGGACAUUUUGGCCAGAAGCAGUCAACUAGAGCAUUCACAUUCUGAAUAGGAGUCCAACUUUUACUGUUCGUAAUAUGACACCGAAAGAAACAAUGAGCGAAAGAAGACCCGAUGUCAGUCAUUUCAGAAUCUUUGGGUGUAUUGCUUAUGCACAUGUCCCUGAUAAAAAAAGAACAAAGUUAGAAGACAAAGAAGAAACACCAACAGUUCAAAAGAAUGUUCCAGCAGAUUUUGAUGAAGAGCUACAUGUUGAGGAUAAUUUGGAGCCAUCACAUGAGCGUGAAACAAUUCAAAAACCUGAAACUGUAACAGAGCCAACGCCAUCACGUAUAAGAAGAAGGCCUACUUGGAUGAGGGAUUAUGAAGUCCCAAGAAUUGAUUAAUUUGAGGAUCCACUCACCUAUUUUAUUUUUUUUCAAAUUGUGAUCCUGUGUUUUUUGAAGAGGCGGUUAAACAAUCAAAAUGGAAGAGAGCAAUGGAUGAUGAAAUUGUAGCUAUUGAAAAAAAACAAAACUUGAGAGUUAAUUGAGCUUCCAAAGGGACAUAAAACCAUUGAUGUGAAGUGGGUUUAUAAGACGAAACUGAAGGAAACUGGUGAAGUUGACAAAUGCAAAGCAUGCUUGGUAGCGUAAGGUUAUAGUCAGGAGUUUGGCAUCGAUUACAAGGAGAUAUUCGCUCCAGUUGCUAGGCAUGACACAAUCAGAUUGGUGAUUACAUUGGCUGCUCAAAAUUCUUGGUCGGUUUUCUAACUAGAUGUCAAGUCGGCAUUCUUGCAUGGAGACUUGAAUGAACAUGUAUUUGUUAAACAACCUCCUGGCUAUAUUAAGAUUGGUGAAGAGCAUAAAGUAUAUAAAUUAAAAAAGGCUUUGUACGAACUCAAACAAGCCCCUCGAGCAUGGUAUAGUCGUAUUGCGACUUAUUUUCUCCAAAACGGUUUUAAAAAGUGUCCUUAUAAGCAUACUUUUUUUGUGAAAAUAGAAAAUGACGGGAAACAACUGUUGAUGGUUUGCUUAUAUGUCGAUGAUUUGAUAUUUACCGGGUAUGAUCAGGUUCUGUUUGAUAAGUUUAAAAAAUCCAUGAUGGUUGAAUUUGACAUGUCAGAUCUUGGAAGAUUGUAUUAUUUUUUGGGUAUAGAGGUUGCACAAUCAGAUAUAGGUAUUUUUAUUUCUCAAAGGAAGUAUGUGCAGGAGAUUCUAAAGAGGUUUCAAAUGGCGGACUGCAAUCCGGUUGGUACACCAGUAGAGACAAGUUUAAAGUUGGUGAAAGAUAAUAAUGGAAGAGAUGUCGAUAAUACUUUAUACAAAAAAAUCGUGGGAAGUCUAAUGUAUCUCACUGCGACCAGACUAGAUAUAACAUAUGUUGUAAAUCUUAUUUGCAAAUCUUAUUUGCAGAUUCAUGGAAUGUCCAAAGGAAAUGCAUCUUCAAGCAGUAAAAAGAAUCUUUAGAUAUUUGUAGGGUACAAUCGAUUACGGGAUCUUCUACAAGAAGGGAGAAAAUCAGCCUUGAUUGGGUUUACAGAUAGUGACUAUGCAAGAGACCAAGAUAAUAGGAAAAAUACAUCUAGUUACGUAUAUAUGUUCGGAACAGGAGCUGUUUCAUGGUCAUCACGAAAGCAACCAAUUGUCACUCUAUCAACAACUGAAGCAGAACUUGUAGCUGCAUCAACAUGUGUCUGCCAAGCCAUUGGGAUGAGAAAGCCUCUUGAGGAAGUACAUUUCAAGCAAAAGUGGCCUACUCUUAUCUACUGUGAUAAUAGCUCAACCACAAAGCUAUCCAAGAAUCCUAUUUUACAUGGGAGAAGCAAGAAUAUUGAUGUCCGAUAUCAUUUCUUGAGAGAUUGUGUGAAUAAUGAAGAGAUCAAUAUGAUAUAUUGCAAAAGUGAAUAUCAAAUCACAGAUAUAUUUACAAAAGCCCUCAAACUUGCAACAUUUCAAAAGCUACGACAAAUGCUUGGAGUUUGCAAGGCGACAAAUGCAGGAAGUUAGCAAGAUUUUUUAGUUUAAACUGAUAUUAGAGAUUAAUAUUAGUUUAAGGGAGGGUUUGUUAGACUUUUUCAAUAGUCCUGGUCUACAGGCAGUAGUUGUUUUGAAUAAGUUGUUAUGCUUUCCAUUAUUUUAGGAGUUAGUUUUGCUUUUUACGUUAAUUGUAUAGCCUAUUUAAAGAGCCUAUUUGCUCCCUGAAUUGAAAAUAAUUUAUUUUUCUUCCUAAAGUUAUUUUUUUAUUUGCUGCUCACACAACAUUCUCGAGGGAGGAGAUCGAAGGAGACUCAUUAUAUGUGAUUCGUAAGCUGCAAACAAAGGGAGUUGAAAGGUCAGUGAUAGGAGCCUAUAUCUCAAAUAGAGGGGUAUCAAAUCUGUGUCUUUAAACAUGUGCCAAAACAAGCAAACGGAGUUGCUCAUCUAUUGGCUACAGAGGGAUUAAAGAGAGAUGAAGAAACUUAUCUUGUUGGUGCGGUUCCUUCAUAAGCGAAAGUGGUAGUGGAAGAGGACCGUCAACAGUUGGGCUCACUUUGUCCAACAGGUUGAAGAUCCACUGCUUAGAAAGAAGAUAAAAUGGGAUUUUACUGUAGGCAAACAGAUGGAAGAACAGAUGGACUAUUGGGUUUAUCAGUUUUAACGGAGAAUAGAUCGGAUAUAUUAUUAACUUUAAAUUUAAUUAUUGAAUUGAGUUCAAGCUUGAACACAUAUGAAUUUAAUCGAAUUCAAGUUGAAUGUUAAAUAUGAAAAUUUAUUUUUACUUAUCCAAAAAGUAGAAUACUAAAAUUUCAGAGGGUGAAAUGUUUACAAAUAUCUAUAGUAUACAUUUGUAAUUACCCAUGCUAUAAAAAGUUCUUGUUGACUUGAUCACUCAGACUCACAUUAACCUCUAUCAGCCUCAUUCCCACUAACUCCUUUACUUUUCCCAAGUAAUAUAAAGUGUAAUAAAAAGUAGGUCUCUCAAUUGAGUGGGCUGAAUCUAUAUAGAUGUUAAUUCAAUUUAGAUUUGAGUUAUUUUCUAUUUGAGUUAAAUUUUUAUGUAAUAGUUCAAACUAAUUCGAAAUUAAAUCAUUUUAGAUAUGAAAUUUAAACAUUUUAGGUUUAAUUAUUAUGGGUUAUGAAAUUUAUAGAUGAUUAUGAAUUAUUUUGGGUUUGACGAAAAUAUUACAUAAAUGUCAUUCUUAGAAUUAACUUCAUGGUGAAUUGAAGGUCACAAUCUGGAUUUGUAAGGUUACAUUGGUAUUCUCCUCACCUAAUAUACUAAACAACUUACAGUGUAAAGAGUGUAUUUGAUGGUCACUAAACUAACUAUAAAUACAAUUAAGGCAAGCGCACCUAUCGAACAAUAGUAUAGUUAUAGUGAGUAGGGAAUAUCGUAUCCAUGAGGACUAAAAGUACUAGUAAUUACCUUUUUAUUAUUUAGCCGACAAAUUGGAGUGAUUGUUUUUAAUCUAAAAUUACUAAACUAAUCCAACUAAGAACGCAACAGAGAAUGAUAUAAGAAAAAUAAUCAAAGAUUACCAAUGAGAUAGACAGUACCCAGGAAAGAAUCCACCUAGACUUCACCUAUUAUUCUGAAUCUGAAUUAAAUAAUUUAUUCACUUGUGUCUUGAUCCAUAAAAAUCCCUAAAUUAUGUUAAUAUCUCUUUCAAGAGUAAGAACAACUGACUCUAGGUUGAUUAAUUGAAAUCUCUUUCUAAUUAAAACCCCUAUUGUCGCAUUAACUCGGUUUAUGGAUUCCACUAUUAGAUUUGACUCUAAUCUUGUAGAUUUAUGUCGUCCUAUUUCUAUGAUUGCAUGCAACUCCACUCAAUUAUGCUAAAUCUACUCUUAAACAUGAACUUUUUCUCCACUGAAAUAAGCACAUUAAACAUAAAUUAAUAUCCUAAAAAUAUUAAAACAUGAAAUAAGCAUACAUAAUUGAGAACAAGAAUCAAGUAUUUAUCGCGUAAAAACAGAAAUUAAAUAAUAAGAUUCAUCAUAGGUUUCAUCCUCCCUAGGUAUCUAGGGAAUUUAGUUUAUAAUCCUGAAUAAAAACAUCUCAGAGUUAGGAUAACAACAAGACAUAAAGAAACUCAAUAAAAUUUCGAGGGAAAUUAAAUGGAGAUCUUCAAUCUUGAGGAAGAUCCGCUUCUGAGUUGAUUUCGAUGGCGUUCUUUGAGUCUUUUCUUCAAUCUUCUCUGAGUGCCCCCUUAAGUCUUCUUCUAAUUGGUAUUUAUAGACUUUAGAAUGCUCAAAAUGCCUAAAAAUUGGGUUUUUCUGCGUAUUUGGGAAGUAGGGUGCGAUAUCGACACGGGCUGGAACAUGGGCGUGUGGUUAGCCCAUGUGGCUCACACGGGCAUGUGGCCAGCCCAUGUGAAAAUUCCCAGGCCAUGUGGAUCCUGGAAACAACUCUAUUUGUCUGAUUUUUUGCUCCCAAAUGCUUUCCUAAGUAUAGAAACAUGAAUUUAAAAGAUUAGGAGCAUCAAAUUCACUAAUUUACAUAAUUAAUUAUCCAAAAACACAUUAAGAAUGAGAUUAAAAUAUGUUACUUUUAUAGCUUAUCAGUAUUCAAAAUUAUAUUCUAAUUAAGAUACCCUUACCUAUCAACAUUCAGAAAGAUAGUCAAUGGAUUGGAGUUGCUUCUUGCUGUAUUUUUGACAAUGAUGCUUCAGGACAUUCUAUCGGUUGUGGAGGAUUUAUUUUUCAAGGUAGAAAUUGUCGAUAGCUUGGUUUGAGAUGCUCGUUCUUGGGCAAAGGAAUAAUGAAAGGUCACAUUUUGCUUCAUUAUUGGUCGCGUGAUAAACUAUAUCCAAUUUCCUUAGAGGAUAAAUAUGGUGACUAUGAAUUCAAUAAUUUAUUGUCAAUAGAUUGCUUAGAUCAAAAUUAAGAUAAGCCUGGGAUGUAUUUCAUAUAUGCAUAUGAUUGCAAUUUUGAGGUAAAUAAGUGUGGUGUUAGAAUAGUGUAUAAGUGUGUUGUUGAAAGCACUAAAAAUAAUCUAUCCUUAUAAUGAAAAGAAUAGUAUAAGGGAAGUAGGGUCAAAUCUUCAGGGACUGGAUUGCUACAACUUCUUAUUCCUCGAAAUCCUAGGCACAGUCGUGCCCGAGAAAAAGCAACGUACAUAAUCCUUCUCAUGACAGAAUAAGCCAGUUAGUUAUAGUGGAAGAGGAUGCCUAUGACCACCAGCUCCACUUAGAUUUUAGACUUACGAUUUAAAGGAACCUGACUCUAGCCAACCGUCACUUUCGUGGGACCAUCUUACACUAGAUCAUCGUUUCUCAAUGGCGAAUGCCACGCCAUUUCGUCUCUUGGGCUCGACAACCUCUGACGCAGUAAGUUAACAAACCGAUUGUGCAACCUUCCCAAAAUAUACAAAGCGGCUACCUUUGCACAAGAUAAAAAGAUCAAUUUUGGAAGGUCAUGGACGGAAGCGUCAGUCCCGUAAUACAGAGAAGCGAUGAAUACUCGUUGAGAAUGUUAAGUGCGGGUUCUAAGCCUCAUGAACCUUUUUUGAGGAAUCUCAACAACCUUUGGCUAGAUGAAUUUAGUGGCUCAUGCUUUUCGGGAAAAAGAAAUAAGUUUAAUGGAAUGGAAUUUUAUUGGGAAAUAAAAUAAAAAGAGCAAAAAGGCUAGAACCUUAGGGGAAAUGAGUGUUUUACAAGAAUUGAUGAGUGAAUAAUUAUGUCACUCCAUUCCCUAUUUAUAGUAAAUAGAAAACCUAAUUUGUUCCUAUUUAAACUCUAAAAGAUAAAUAAAGAUAAAAGUUGAAUUUAGAUCUAAAUAAUAAUCCUAAAUUUUUAAUUUAGAUUUAGGUAGCACUUCUCACAUAAAACGAAAACGUAACAUCUAUGAGGAAGCGAAGGAAGAAGGGCCCCAACCAAAACGGAUGCAAAAAAAUUUUAUUUUUAUAAUGAGCCAACUUUGUCCUAUUAGUUUUUUUACACAUCUAUGUAAACUUAUUUGCUUAUGAGAUAUAAUCCUUCUUAUAUAUAAAAAAAUUUUAAAUUUUUUAUUUAUACACAUAUUCAACAUGAGCUCAUAUUCUAUGCAUAUCCCAAAUGUUGAUAACAUAGUAUUUUUAGACCAUUUAAAAUUCUUCUUUAUGUUUAUGAUUUUUCUAUUUUUAAAAAAUUUAUGUAUUUUAAUAUUAUAUAAUUUUUUAAAUUAUGAUUGACUUUUUUGGGUAAACUACAAAUAUAGUCACUUUUGUUUCACUCAGAUUACAUUUUAGUCACUUAUGUUUGAAAUGUUAUGUUUUAGUCACUUGCGUAUCGUUUUGUUACAAAGUGGUCACUCUACCAUUAAGCUCCGUUACCUCCCUAACGGCAAUCCUACGUGGCAGUCCAAAUGGGUUUUAAAUGCCAACUUGGAUGUCUAAUUGGUACGACAAUAGGUUUUUAAUUAAAUAAAUUUAAUUAAUUAAAAAAUUUAAAUUAAUUACAUGUUGAACUGGAAAAAAAAAUCAUUCAUCUCUUUUUUCUUUUUAGUUUUCCUUUUCAUUUUAACUGAAAAAAUUAUUCUCAUCCUAGUUGGAAAUCCUAGUUGGAAAUCUAAGUUGUCAUUUAAAACCUAUUUGGGUUGCCAUGUAGGAUUGUCACUAGGGAGAUAACGGAACUUAACUGAAGAGUGACUACUUCGUAACAAAACGAUAACGUAAGUGGCUAAAACGUAGCAUUUCAAAUAUAAGUGACUAAAAUGUAAUUUGCGGCAAAUAAAAGUGACCAUUUUUAUAGUUUACUUUUUUUUGAAUUUUAGAGUUUAGGUUCAUUUUGUGAACUCUUUCUUGGAAUCUUCGUGGAGAGAACAUUUAUCAUCCCCCAAAUUCCACACCUACGAGCUUGAGGGCAAUGAGGUUGUUGUUUUGGGAGGUUCAAAGGUGAGGGGGAGCUGUUUGGGAUGGCGGUCGGUAAUGGAAGAUGAGAGUGAUGAAGCCCGGGUGUACUGGUGAUGUUGGUGGUGAAAAUGGGAGCCUCGAGUGAUAGAGAGAGAAUGGUGAAAAGGCCCCUGGGUUAGCUCAGAGAUGAAAUUUUCUGCUAUUGCUGCCUCAAAACACAGAAUUGCUAACCUACCCGGCUUGAAUUUUGUAGAUUGAUUUUAUUAACAGAAAUCAGUGGAGCAUGUUGUGUGUGCUUGCAGUGCAACAAAAGGAAUUGGCAUUUUGUGCUGCGGAAGAUACCUGUAGGUGCUGAGGCAGGUGUACUGGUGCAGAAGGGUGGCCAUUGACUGGCUACCACCUGUCCCAAGCUAUUAGAAACACAUUAGGAUCUGUUUGUAAAGUUAAUAAAAAUUUGGGGACUUUUAUUCAAAAUUUUAACUUUUGAUUUUCUUUUUCUAUUCUUCUUGUAUUUUUUUUUUUUUUUGUAAAAAGCAUAUGGUAAAAUGUUUUAUACAUAAAAAAAAACCUAAAUGAGUGAAAAGUCCAAAAUGUACUUAAAAAAAGAGAAAAGAGAAAAAUUGGCCAAAUCAAAUUUAGCUUAGUCCAAUCAACUUAAAAUUAUAUCAAAUUAGUAAGUUUAUGAUUUCAUAUUUUUUUCAACAUAUAACUCCAACACCAACAUUAAUUCGAAACAUUUAACAAGUUAGUGAAUUCUUGAAAUUUUAAGCUCAACAAUUAAAAUCGAAUUUAUCACAAAAUAAUUAGAUGUAUGUUAUAUAAGAAACUAGUUAAGCAUGUAAAACACAAUUACUUAAUACUUAAUAAUUAUAAUGUAAAACACUUGAAUUGUUACUUACAAUUAUUGUAGGCCCCAUUUUGUGGACUCUUUCUUGGAUUCUUCCUGGAAACAACAUCUAUCAUCCCCCAAUUUCCACACGUCCCCGCUUUCAUUUGGAAACAAAGGAAAUGUAUAGAAAAAUUGCUUAGGGAAAUUGGAUCUAUUUCUCUCCUUCAUGCUCAUAUACUAUACUAUAUUGAAAAUGUAUUAAAGAGAUUUGACAAGGAUUGUACAUUAGGUGAUGCUGAUAUCAUUAAAAGGGACAAGUUUAAUGUUCAUCAAUGCCUCAACAUUGGUUUUAAGAUUAAGGAAAUGGAAAAAAAUCACUAUGCUUAUUACUUAAUUAUAACUGUUCAUAUACUUAAUAAUAAUGGGUUUUAUAUGUGUAAAAAUAUUGCAUACAUCAUUAGGAUGUUGGGUAGAUAUUUGAGAAAUUUGAGUAAAACACAGACGGUCCUUAUUACUUAAUAAUAAUUAUAGGCUCCAUUUUGUCUACUCUAACCUUCUUGGAGUCUUUCCGGAAACAACAUCUAUAACCCCGAAUUUCCACACCUACUCCCUUUCAUUUCGAAAACUAAUGUUUUUAAUUAUUAUCUUUCGGAAACAACAUCCAUCGCUCAUCUUUGACCCCUAUUCUCAUAUACUUACUUUUUCCAGUUUGUUUGUGGGCAUUGGGCGAUCUAUUUUCUGAUUUUGAACACCAGAUUGAGAUAUCCUUCUCCUUUCAUACAUCCUCAUGUUGUCGUUCCCUUCAGCUUCUUCCUCCAUUUCUAAAAGGAAAUAUGAUGUUUUCUUGAGUUUUAGAGGUGAAGAUACUCGCAACAACUUCACGGGUCAUCUUUAUGAUGCUAUAACUAAUGGAAAAGUCAACAAUAUUAAUUAUAUGUCUAACUAAUAACAUUAUUAUAAAAAUAUAUGAUUAAAUUAGGUUAGAAAUUAAAUCUUAGGCAUAAUAAAAAAAUUAAAAUUGAAAUUCUAACAUUUUCUUAUAAUGUAAAAGAAAAUAAAAUCCUACACAUUAAAUUAAUAAAUUGUAUUCAUACAUAAAAUUUUAUGAUACUGAGUAGAUAUAAGUUAUUUUAGUCUGCACCUAAUGAACAUUUUAGAUGCUUCAAAUAGAACUUAAUCAUAUAAAAGGCAAAAUGUGAGGGACCGAAUUUAAAAUAACGCAUUGUCCUCCCUGGAUUCUUCCUUGAAAGAACAUGCGUCACCCAAAUGUCCACACCUACUCGUAUUCAUUUCGAAAAUGAAAAGGUUAUAGAGAACUUGCUUAGAAACAUCCUUUAUUCUUCCCUGGAAUUUUCAUCUGUUUUUCUCAAUCUUCACUCUCAUAUACUUAUUGUUUCUAGUUUCUUUCUGGCGUAUUGAGCGAUCAAUUUUCUUAUUUUGAACACUGCAUCCACAUAUAUAUUUUUCUUCUCAAACAUCGUCAUGUUGUCAUUACCUUCAACUUCCUCAUACAUUUCUAGAAAGAAAUAUGAUGUUUUCUUGAGUUUUAGAGGUGAAGAUACUCGCAAAAACUUCACCGAUCAUCUCUAUGCUGCUCUAAAGAGGAGUGGGAUAGUCACUUUCAGGGAUGAUAUAAAGCUGGAGGCCGGCGAAGAGAUCGCGCCAGAGCUCUUCAAAGCAAUUCAGCAAUCAUGGUGCUCGGUAAUCGUUUUUUCACAAACUUAUGCCUUUUCAAGUUGGUGCUUGGAGGAGCUUGCUGAGAUUGUUAAACAACAUAACAACGACGGCCAUAAAGUGUUUCCAAUUUUUUACGAUGUUGAUCCAUCUGAUUUAAGCAAACAAAAAGGGAAAGUGGAAGAAGCCUUUGCCAGACAUGAAGAGAGAUACAAAGAAGAAAGUGAGAAGAUCCAAAGGUGGCGAAAUGCUUUAAUUCAAGUGGCUGCAAUCAAGGGAUGGCAUUUAAAUAACCGGUAAUUCUUUCUUUUCUUCUCUAUUUUCUAGUGUUUUGGAUAUAUGUAUGUAUGUAUGUAUGUAUGUAUGUAUGUAUGUAUGUAUGUAUAACUGUUGAAACAAUUGCAGCAAGAGCAACACAAAACAGCAAGCAAAACAAUAGGAAUGAUGAUUUGAAAUAAUGUAACUGAAGGAAUUCAACUUCUUCUUUCAUUCAAAAUUGAAAUAUAUUGAAGUUACAAAAUUAACUUGACAGUUACCUAAACAUUUAACUACUCCCACUAUAAUUGACAAAUUUGUAACUUAAGCAAUACACAAAAACAAAGCUGAUAAUGUCAGCUAUUACAUCCAUCAUAUUCAAUCAAAAGAUUUACUAACUUUGAUGUCAAGUUACAAGCCAACUUGAUCAAGUUACAAAAGGACCAAAUAUAAACUAAACUGCUUCUGGUUCAGUCUCAAUGCUGGCAUGCUAGCUGAGCUGCUGCUGCUACUGCUGCUGGUCAUUUGUUGCAUUGCAGGCCAAUGCUUAACAAUAACUUCUUCUUCUUCUUUUUUCUAAUCCUAUGUGUUUAAUUGAAAAGUGUCAUAUUUCAAUAAAAGAGCAAAUUUUGUCUUCUGGCUCCGCAACACAUCUUGCUUUCUUAUUCUUGGUUCUUGUUUGCUUACAAACUAUAUUAUGUUUGAUGAUUCAUUGAAAAAGAAAGUGCAUUCGAAACAUAUCAACAAAAUUUUACUCAAAACAUUAAAAUUUCUUUUUUUUAGGCAUGAAUCAGAAUUUAUUAGAGACAUUGUUAAGAAGAUAUCAGCAAAACCAUGUCAGACAUAUCCAGUUACUCAUAGCGACUUGGUUGGUAUUAGUGAACGCUUGGAGGAUUUGUAUUUGAAAAUAAACAUUGGGGAAGAUGAUGUCCGCGUUAUAGGAAUUUGCGGAAUGGGUGGUAUCGGUAAAACGACACUCGCAAGAGUUGCUUACACUCAAAUGUCAUCUCAUUUUGAAGGUAAAAGCUUUAUUGCUGAUAUUCGAGAAGUUUCAGACAAAUGCGGACUAGUUUCUUUGCAGAAACAACUUCUUUCACAGAUCUUUCAUGGUGAAUGCUUCAACUUUUUCGAUGUUCAUGAAGGGAGUGACAUAAUUAGCCAUAGGUUGUCUCACAAAAAGGUUCUUGUUGUUCUUGAUAAUGUUGAUAACAUACAACACUUAAAAUGCUUGGUAGGAAGGCACGAUUGGUUCGAAUUAGGAAGUAGAAUCGUUGUAACAACAAGAGAAGAACAUUUGCUUCGGUCUUGGCCAGUUGAUGAUAUGUAUGAGCCCAAAACAUUGAAUCCCAAAGAUGCGCUUCAACUUUUCAGUCUGAAAGCUUUUCAUAGUGAUACAGUGCAGAAAGAUGAUUUCAUUGAGCUUUCUGAACAUGUUGUAAAUUAUGCUGGUGGACUCCCUUUAGCUCUUGAAGUUUUGGGUUCCUUUUUGUGCGGUAGAGAUGCGACUCAAUGGAGAAGUGCGAUUGAAAGACUUAAAAGAGAUUCUAAUAAAGAAAUUCUCAAUAAACUUCGAAUCAGUUUUGAUGGACUGGAAGAAAGAGAGAAGGAUAUAUUUUUAGAUAUAGCAUGCUUCUUCAAUGGGGAGAGGAAAGAUUUUGUAAUAAAAGUAUUAGAUGGUUGUGAGUUUUUUCCUGAUAUCGGAAUUGAUGUUCUCAUUAAAAAAUCUCUCGUAAAAGUCGAUAAAUACAACAGAUAUUUGAAGAUGCAUGAAUUGUUGCAAGAAAUGGGAAGAACAAUUGUUAAAGAAAAAUGUGUUGAUGAACCUGGAAAACGUUGCAGAUUGUGGGAGGAAAGAGACGUCCAUCAUGUCCUAACAAAAUACACUGUAAGUCAUUCAACAAAAGUUGCAUACUAUUUCUUUUUUAUCCUACAUUAUUCACCAUUUAUUUUAUUUUCUUAUUGUCUGUUGUUGAUCUUUUUUAGGCUACAGAAAUGAUUAAAGGCAUAAUCAUCGAUAAUAAAAUGUAAGAAGAUACACAUAAACUUAUAUCUAUGUGUACUGUAAAUAAUUAUUAUUUUUAAAUAUGAUAAAAAAAAUAUAGCAAAACUUUUGACAUUCAAUAUUUCAAUGUUUAAUUAUGAAAUUUAUCUAGCAACAUAUUUACUUUUUCAAAAGAAUCAAAAAAGAAAUGUAUGUAUUUUUGAAAUAUUAAUGGUAUAUUUUUUUGUGAAAAUUAAUGGUAUAUAUUUAAUGUACUAAAAGUUUAUAUCAACGAAUUAGAUUAUAACAUGUCAUCGAAAUUUUUUAAUGAAAAUAGUUUCAUUUUUAAUUAUGUGUCAUUGUUUGGUUCAUUAACUUGUAAAUUAUGCUUUGUUUGCGGACCGAAUAUAAAUCAACAUAUUAAUUCAAUUUUUUAGGAUUAGGUAAUUUAACAUCGGAUGGGAUUAUUAGAUAUAAGUAUCUCUUUAAUAUGGCUAUGUUAAAAAUAUAUAUUUAAAAAUUGUUUUUAUUCACAUAUUUAAAAGGUUCUUAAAGGAUCAUAUCUUAAUACCCAUAUACGAAUAUGCAUUAGAUAUAAGUAUUGGAUACGAGUACUUAAAAAACAAUAUUGAUGUAACAUUUCUUUUAGAUAUUGAAUGUUUUUGUAUAUUUUGAAGCUCAUUUUUGUUUUGCUCAUGGAUAUUAGGGAAUUGAACAAGAUACUCAAUUUGAGUGUGGAUACCUUCUUGAAGAUGAAAAAAUUGAGAUUGCUUAAAGUGCUUUGCCUUUCAAAUUGUGAUGAUGAUCUCAAAUAUCUUUCUAAUGACCUACGACUUUUAGAUUGGACAGGAUACCCUUUAAGAAACUUGCCUUCAAGCUUUCAACCGGACAACCUUGUCGCACUUCUUUUACCAUAUAGUCACAUUCAACAACUAUGGAAGGGAAAUAGAGUAAGAAUUAACUCAUCUUAUCCUUGUGUUUUAGCUUAUUUUAAUAUAAAUUAUUAAACUUUGAUUAAGGUAAAACAAAAAAAACAAAAAUGAGCAUUAUUAUGUUUUCUCAUUUGUUUCUAAUUUAUUAUGGUCUUCAACAGCCCUUGUUUAACUUGAAAAUAAUGAACCUCAGAGGGUCUCAAAACCUGAUCAAGACACCAGACUUCACAAUAGCAUCAAAUCUUGAGGUUUUGAUUUUGGAAGGUUGUACCAAAUUAGUGGAUGUUCAUCCAUCAAUCGGGGUGCUUAGGAGCCUUAAACUUUUGAAUUUAAGAGAUUGCAAAAGUCUUAGGACUCUUCCAACCAAAAUUGGAAUGGAAUCUCUUGAAACAUUAAUUUUUUCGGGUUGCUCAAAUCUUGUAAGGUUUCCGGAUGUUGAAGGGAAAAUGGAACGCCUAAAAACUCUAGAUCUUUCCGGUUGUUAUAGAGUGGAAAAUUUAUCGGAGAAUUUGCAGCAAGCAAAGUUUUUGGAAGAGCUCGACUUGAGUGAAACAGCCAUAACAGAACCACCAUCCUUCAUUUUUCAAUUUAAAAAUCUUAAAGUUCUGUCUUUCAAUGGGCGCAAGGGACCAUCAUAUAAGUUACUACCAAAUUUGCCUUCUCUUGUCAAGGUAAUCCAAGGAAGAAGGACGAAUCCCAUGGCUCGGAUGUUGCCUUUGUUGUCAGGUUUGAGUUCAUUAAGAGAGUUGAAUCUAAGGGACUGCAAUCUUUGUGAAGGAGAUAUUCCACGUGAUAUUUCUGGUCUAUCCUGUUUGGAAGAACUUGAUCUUAGUGGUAACAAUUUCAUCAGCAUACCUGCAUCUCUUACUCGACUCUCCAAGCUUAAAGAGCUUAUAUUGUCAAAUUGCAACAUGUGCACUCUUGGUGAAGCAGAUAUUCGUAGUGAUCUUUCUGGUCUAUACUCUUUGCUACGUCUUGAUCUUAGUGGUAAGAAUUUCAUCACCAUUCCUUUGGCUCUUACUCAACUUUCCAGGCUCAAAUUGCUUAAAUUGUCAGGUUGCAAGAUGCUUAAAUCAUUGCCUGAGCUACCAACAAGUAUAAGAUAUAUGAUAAUAGAUGAUUGUUCUUCACUUGAAGUAGUUGCAAGUCCAUCAAAAGUAUGCAAUUUAGCGGGUGGUGAUGAAAUUAGUGCCAUUAACUGAUUCAAAUUGGCUGAGAAAAUCAAUGCAUUAACACUGCUGAAAGAACAUAUUAAGGUCAAUUAAUCUAUUUUUUCUCCCUUAGAAAAUCUCAUACUUGAGAAUUUAUGGUUUUAGUUACCAAACGACUUGUGUUUAAUUUUGCAGGCGGUUCGAUAUCCAAGAGAUUGUUUUCAUAGUAGCAUCGUUGAUAUUAUGAUGCCCGGAAGUGAAAUCCCAGAAUGGUUUAGCCAACAAAAAAGUGACUCUUCAAUUAAGAUACCCCUACCUAUCAACCUUCGAAAAGAUAGUCAAUGGAUUGGAGUUGCUUGUUGCUGCAUUUUUGUCGAUAAUGGUGCUUCAAGGAAUAAGAUGCUUUACUGUGAUGGAUCUAUUUUUCGAGGUAGAAAUUGUCGACGAAUUUUUUGGAGCCUCGGGUGGGUAGGUCGAAGCUUUCACAAGCUCAUAAUGAAAGAUCACCUUUUUCUUCGUUAUUUUCUGCGUGAUGAAUUAUAUCCAAUUUCCUUGGAGGAUAAAUAUGGUGACUGUGAAACCAAUAAUUUAUGGACAGCAGAUUGCUUAGAUCAAACAGGCGAUGAGCUUCAGUUGUGUUUCAAUUCCAAAUUUGAACCAAAUGACGGUUGUGUUAAGGUGAAGAAGUGUGGUGUUAGAAUAGUGUAUGAGAAAGAUUUGGAAGAAAUGAAAGAGUUGCAGUGCCAUACCACUCAAUCUUCUCCAAAUUUUGAACACAUCCACCAACACUCUGCUCAAAACCAUGGAUCAGUAGGUAGCACUUCUCACAUGAAACGAAAACGUAAUAUCUCUGAGGAAACGGAGGAAGAAGAGCCGCAACCAAAACGGAUGCAAAAUUUUUUCAAUUUUGUAAUGGGCCAAUCAAGAGAGAAGCAUUAACUGUGGUAAACUACUUAACCAACUUUGUCCUAUUAAUUUUUUUUUUACACAUCUUGUAUUUCAUUUGAACAAUUAUUCUAGACUUGUUUUGCAUAUGCGAUAUGAUCCUUCCAUUAUAUGCCAAAACAUUUUAAAAUUUUAGCUACUUAAUUCAUUCCUUUUUACAUAUACCCGAAAUGUGUACAUUUUAAUUGGUUUCACUUUUUUUUUAUUAAAAUUAUAUUUCCAUUAUAUAUAUUCACUUACAUCUAUAUUUUAUGUGUAGAUUAAAAACGAAGCAACUUGAAACAAAAUUGUGAGACAAAAAUGAAGAUGAAGCAAGUAAUAAUAAAGUGAGAAUCAUUUAAUAAGGAUUGAUCAUAAUUUCAGCUGAGUUAAAAAUUAUUUUAUUUUUAUUGGAGAUCAACUUAUGUAUUCAAUUUAAUCAAUCAAAACUGUUUUUAUAUAUUUAGAAGAUUAAUUAUAAAUCGUUAAUAGUACUUAAAUAGAUUUAAUUCCUUCUAAUAAAGUAUCAUUUAAAUUUGAUGGCUUGAAGUACAAAUAACAUUAUUCCAACUCUUCAGUUUAUAUUUUUUUACACAUCUAUGUAAACUUAUUUGCUUAUGAGAUAUAAUCCUUCUUAUAUAUAAAAAUUUUUUAAAUUUUUUAUUUAUACACAUAUUCAACAUGAGCUCAUAUUCUAUGCAUAUCCUAAAUGUUGAUAACAUAGUAUUUUUAGACCAUUUAAAAUUCUUCUUUAUGUUUAUGAUUUUUCUAUUUUUAAAAAAUUUAUGUAUUUUAAUAUUAUAUAAUUUUUUAAAUUAUGAUUGGCUUUUUUUGGGUAAACUACAAAUAUAGUCACUUUUGUUUCACUCAGAUUACAUUUUAGUCACUUAUGUUUGAAAUGUUAUGUUUUAGUCACUUGCGUAUCGUUUUGUUACAAAGUGGUCACUCUACCAUUAAGCUCUAUUACCUCCCUAACGGCAAUCCUACGUGGCAGUCCAAAUGGGUUUUAAAUGCCAACUUGGAUGUCUAAUUGGUACAACAAUAGGUUUUUAAUUAAAUAAAUUUAAUUAAUUAAAAAUUUUAAAUUAAUUACAUGUUGAACUGGAAAAGAAAAAUCAUUCAUCUCUUUUUUCUUUUUAGUUUUCCUUUUCAUUUUAACUGAAAAAAUUAUUCUCAUCCUAGUUGGAAAUCCAAGUUGUCAUUUGAAACCCAUUUGGAUUGCCACGUAGGAUUGUCACUAGGGAGAUAACGGAACUUAACUGAAGAGUGACUACUUCGUAACAAAACGAUAAUGUAAGUGGCUAAAACGUAGCAUUUCAAACAUAAAUGACUAAAAUGUAAUUUGCGGCAAAUAAAAGUGACUAUUUUUAUAGUUUACUUUUUUUUGAAUUUUAGAGUUUAGGUUCAUUUGUGAACUCUUUCUUGGAAUCUUCGUGGAGAGAACAUUUAUCAUCCCCCAAUUUCCACACCUACGAGCUUGAGGGCAAUGAGGUUGUUGUUUUGGGAGGUUCAAAGGUGAGGGGGAGCUGUUUGGGAUGGCGGUCGGUAAUAGAAGAUGAGAGUGAUGAAGCCGGGGUGUGUUGGUGAUGUUGGUGGUGAAGAUGGGAGCCUCGAGUGAUAGAGAGAGAAUGGUGAAAAGGCCCCUGGGUUAGCUCAGAGAUGAAAUUUUCUGCUAUUGUUGCCUCCAAACACAGAAUUGCUAACCUACCCGGCUUGAAUUUUGUAGAUUGAUUUUAUUAACAGAAAUCAGUGGAGCAUGUUGUGUGUGCUUGCAGUGCAACAAAAGGAAUUGGCAUUUUGUGCUGCGGAAGAUACCUGUAGGUGCUGAGGUAGGUGUACUGGUGCAGAAGGGUGGCCAUUGACUGGCUACCACUGUCCCAAGAUAUUAGGAACACAUUAGGAUCUGUUUGUAAAGUUAAUAAAAAUUUGGGGACUUUUAUUCAAAAUUUUAACUCUUGAAUUAUUACUUACAAUUAUUGUAGGCUCCACUUUGUGGACUCUUUCUUGGAUUCUUCAUUGAGACAACAUCUGUCAUCCCCCAAUUUCCACACGUGCAUGCUUUCAUUUGGAAACAAAGGAAAUGUAUAGAAAAAUUGCUUAGGGAAAUUGGAUCUAGUUCUCUCCUUCAUGCUCAUAUACUAUACUAUAUUGAAAAUAUAUUAAAGAGAUUUGACAAGGAUUGUACAUUAGGUGGUGCUUAUAUCAUUAAAAGGGACAAGUUUAAUGCUCAUCAAUGCCUCAAAAUUGGUUUUAAGAUUAAGGAAAUGGAAAAAAUCACUAUGCUUAUUACUUAAUAAUAAUUGGUUUUAUAUGUGUAAAAAUAUUGCAUAUAUAACCCCGAAUUUCCACACCUACUCCCUUUCAUUUUGUCUACUCUCACCUUCUUGGAGUCUUUCCGGAAACAUCUAUAACCCCGAAUUUCCACACCUAGUCCCUUUCAUUUCGAAAAGUAAUGUUUUUAAUUAUUAUCUUUCAUUGUUAAGUUCAUAAAAUACAAACCGUCCAACAUUUUUAACUCUCACCUUCAUGAAAAGAACAUAUCACCCGGCCCUCUUCUAUUUUUCAUAUGUUUUUCCUCAUAUAUUCAUUAUUUUCUGAUUUUGAACACCAGAUUGAAAUAUCUUCUCCUUUCAUACAUCCUCAUGUUGUCGUUACCUUCAACUUCUUCCUCCAUUUCUAGAAAAAAAUACGAUGUUUUCUUGAGUUUCAGAGGUGAAGAUACCCGCAGCAACUUUACCGAUCAUCUCUAUGAUGCUCUAAGUAGGAGUGGGAUCGUCACUUUCAGAGAUGAUCCAAAGCUGGAGGCCGGCGAAGAGAUCG
This 38391-nucleotide long non-coding RNA is filed under the name Gossypium barbadense (sea-island cotton). RNAcentral's name for it is "long non-coding RNA (GBAR_LNC021298)". Lineage: Eukaryota; Viridiplantae; Streptophyta; Magnoliopsida; Malvales; Malvaceae. The record is from RNAcentral.